GCUCUGUACUGAAGACUGAACAACUGUAAAUAGAUUUAAAAGGUACUCGAUCCAGGUAUCAAUUUAAGAAAUGAAGCUAUGUAGGCAGUGAAUGAUGGGAAACGAGCGGUUCCUGCAGCUUCACGGUUGAACCAUAGUUCAGCUGAGCUGUGGUUACAAGUGGAGCAGUCAGCCUUUCUUAGCUGCUUAAUUAUGUCCUCUUUUCUCUGUAUUAUCCCCUUUCCAGGCUUGACUCUGGCACACUCCUUCCCACAAAUUAUUUAGCCUCCAGAUACAAAUGAAUAGUGUAAUAAUGAAUAGGGAUCAUUGCAGAGAGUGGUAUUUCCUGACCUUAUAAUUUGGGAAUUUUGCAUAUGAUAUUAAGAUUCAGAGUGUAGGUUUAAAAGGUAAAUCCCUUAGUC
Molecule: long non-coding RNA, 401 nt
Filed under: Bos taurus (domestic cattle)
Lineage: Eukaryota; Metazoa; Chordata; Mammalia; Artiodactyla; Bovidae
Description: long non-coding RNA NONBTAT000769
Source: RNAcentral